This 210-nucleotide ribosomal RNA is filed under the name uncultured bacterium. Its description in RNAcentral is "partial 16S ribosomal RNA". It matches the Rfam family "Bacterial small subunit ribosomal RNA", at positions 1291 to 1500 of the family's 1533-position model. The record is from RNAcentral.
GUUCAGAUUGCAGGCUGCAACUCGCCUGCAUGAAGUCGGAAUUGCUAGUAAUCGUAGGUCAGCAUACUACGGUGAAUACGUUCCCGGGCCUUGUACACACCGCCCGUCAAACCAUGAGAGUUGGCAACACCCGAAGUCGGUAGUCUAACCGCAAGGAGGACGCCGCCGAAGGUGGGGUUGAUGAUUAGGGUUAAGUCGUAACAAGGUAUC